RNAcentral lists this ribosomal RNA (253 nucleotides) under uncultured bacterium. RNAcentral describes it as "partial 16S ribosomal RNA". It matches the Rfam family "Archaeal small subunit ribosomal RNA", at positions 474 to 727 of the family's 1478-position model. The record is from RNAcentral.
UACCAGCACCCCGAGUGGUCGGGACGUUUAUUGGGCCUAAAGCAUCCGUAGCCGGUUCUACAAGUCUUCCGUGAAAUCCAACUGCUUAACAGGUGGGCUGCGGAAGAUACUAUAGAGCUAGGAGGCGGGAGAGGCAAGCGGUACUCGAUGGGUAGGGGUAAAAUCCGUUGAUCCAUUGAAGACCACCAGUGGCGAAGGCGGCUUGCCAGAACGCGCUCGACGGUGAGGGAUGAAAGCUGGGGGAGCAAACCGG